RNAcentral lists this ribosomal RNA (229 nucleotides) under uncultured bacterium. RNAcentral describes it as "partial 16S ribosomal RNA". It matches the Rfam family "Bacterial small subunit ribosomal RNA", at positions 568 to 796 of the family's 1533-position model. The record is from RNAcentral.
CGCGUAGGCGGCAAAGCAAGUCAGAUGUGAAAUUCCAGAGCUCAACUUUGGAGCUGCAUCUGAAACUACUUAGCUCGAGGGUAGACGGAGAAAACGGAAUUCCACAUGUAGCGGUGAAAUGCGUAGAUAUGUGGAGGAACACCGGUGGCGAAAGCGGUUUUCUAGUUUAUACCUGACGCUGAGGCGCGAAAGCAAGGGGAGCAAACAGGAUUAGAUACCCUGGUAGUCC